Molecule: ribosomal RNA, 462 nt
Filed under: uncultured bacterium
Lineage: Bacteria
Description: partial 16S ribosomal RNA
Rfam family: Bacterial small subunit ribosomal RNA
Source: RNAcentral
AAUGAACGUUGGCGGCAUGGAUUAGGCAUGCAAGUCGGGGGAAUCCCAGCAAUGGGGGAACCGGCGUAAGGGGCAGUAAGGCAUGGGUACCUACCUUGGGGUUCGGGAUAGCCAUCAGAGAUGGUGGGUAAUACCGGAUGACGUCGUGAGACCAAAGAUUCAUCGCCCUUAGAGGGGCCCAUGUGAUAUUAGCUAGUUGGUGGGGUAACGGCCCACCAAGGCGAAGAUGUCUAGCGGGUGUGAGAGCACGACCCGCGCCACUCGCACUGAGACACUGGCGAGACACCUACGGGUGGCUGCAGUCGAGGAUCUUCGGCAACGAGCGCAAGCUUGACCGAGCGAUGCCGCGUGAGCGAUGAAGGCCUUCGGGUUGUAAAGCUCUUUAGUGGGGGAGAAAGGCCGCAAGGUGUGAUCUAUCCCAAAAAUAAGCACGGGCUAAGUUCGUGCCAGCCGCCGCGGUAA